AAGUCGAACGAUGAAGCCNAACUUGCUGGGUGGAUUAGUGGCGAACGGGUGAGUAACACGUGAGUAACCUGCCCUUAACUCUGGGAUAAGCCUGGGAAACUGGGUCUAAUACCGGAUAGGAGCGUCCACCGCAUGGUGGGUGUUGGAAAGAUUUAUCGGUUUUGGAUGGACUCGCGGCCUAUCAGCUUGUUGGUGAGGUAAUGGCUCACCAAGGCGACGACGGGUAGCCGGCCUGAGAGGGUGACCGGCCACACUGGGACUGAGACACGGCCCAGACUCCUACGGGAGGCAGCAGUGGGGAAUAUUGCACAAUGGGCGAAAGCCUGAUGCAGCGACGCCGCGUGAGGGAUGACGGCCUUCGGGUUGUAAACCUCUUUCAGUAGGGAAGAAGCGAAAGUGACGGUACCUGCAGAAGAAGCACCGGCUAACUACGUGCCAGCAGCCGCGGUAAUACGUAGGGUGCGAGCGUUAUCCGGAAUUAUUGGGCGUAAAGAGCUCGUAGGCGGUUUGUCGCGUCUGUCGUGAAAGUCCGGGGCUUAACCCCGGAUCUGCGGUGGGUACGGGCAGACUAGAGUGCAGUAGGGGAGACUGGAAUUCCUGGUGUAGCGGUGGAAUGCGCA
Molecule: ribosomal RNA, 620 nt
Rfam family: Bacterial small subunit ribosomal RNA